UUAUAUAUGUAUAAUUGUAUAAACGUUAAGCCCAUCGUCUCAUAAACCAAACCGCCAGAAGCCGAGUUGAGAGAGAGAGAGAGUACAGUGUGAGAAGUCUUCCAUUAUCAACUGGCUUCGCUUUGAAAUCACCCAAAUUUAGGGUUUCCACCGUCAGAUGCUCCUCUGCUUCUCUCUACAUGGACGGUGCUGCCCUUGGUAACACACCCGUGUAUAUGCCUGUAAACGAAUGCUUGGGAGAAAGACCUUGGAAGGUAGCAGAUGCCAGACUUGUCCUGGAAGAUGGUUCUAUUUAGAGGGCAAAGUCAUUUGGUGUUUCAGGAACCCAAGUUGGUGAAGUGGUUUUCAAUACAUCUUUAACGGGGACACGGGAAAGAAGUGGCGGAUGACGUUCUUCUAAUAUUUUUGGAUUAGAAGAUCAUUUUGCUAUUUUUGUAUCUAAGUCCCAUCAUGUUUUUGUAAAACCUUAGUUUGUUAUAUUCGGUAUAGAGACUUGUGAACUCUUGUUAUUGUAAUUUUGCUUCAUGGACUGUAAGCUGAUGUAAUUAGAGUAAAAUUCUAGUAUGUGAGCAUAGGACUAUGUAGAAGAUA
Molecule: long non-coding RNA, 591 nt
Organism: Cornus florida
Lineage: Eukaryota; Viridiplantae; Streptophyta; Magnoliopsida; Cornales; Cornaceae
Exons: 3
Source: RefSeq, a predicted model, not a curated record